AUUUCCCUUGUAAUUCCAGGCCCCGGGCAAGUGCUGUUGGUGAGAGACUUUGGAGCAGCGAAAAUGUAACCGAUAUUUCAGAUGCUUCUAAAAGACUGACUCAACAUCGUUGUCGCAUGCUUAGGCGUGGAAUUGCAGCACAGCCUUUGUUUGUUGGAUCCUGCAACCAUGACUUCCUCUGAUUAGGGAUCGUAGCAAAAGUGCCUAUUCUUCAUUUUAAUGUGAGACAUAUGUAUCAAUGUGAACUAUAUAGGAAAAGAGAUAUGUACAACAGCAGAACGCUAUAAAACCUACUACAUAACCACUAGGACCAGAAAUAUACUAGUGCAUAUUUUGUAUAUAACAAUAUAACAGUUCAGGAAAAAGGCAGUUGUAGUCCUUCAGUGGAAUAACCGUUAACAGUCACGAAACCUCAAUUUUUCUGAAGAUGAAUUACAAUUUAUAUCUUAUAGUUUCUAUUGACAUAUAAACAGGCUGCAGCAGCAAUCUAUACUUUUGAUCAUUGUAAUUGCAACAUAAACUGUUUCCUAACAUAAGAUUAAAACAUAGGAUGUCAGUACUACUACAUGAGAUCAUGCCAAACCAGUCCUCUUAUUAAGCAAAGCAUUUUGCUCAAAAAGGCUCAUUGGGUGGUAGUUUGCCAAUUCCAGCGUAAAUGUAGCAGUCCCAGAUGUCAAGGAACGUAAAACUGUUGAGUAGCCCUGGGGGGGAAAAUGUAUAUUACAAAAGAUUAUAAGAUGAAGCUUUUUCAAAGACAUAAAAAUAAAUUUUACCUACAAUU
Molecule: non-coding RNA, 781 nt
Organism: Thamnophis sirtalis
Lineage: Eukaryota; Metazoa; Chordata; Lepidosauria; Squamata; Natricidae
Source: RefSeq, a predicted model, not a curated record